GUGGGGCAGAACUUCCCGAUCAGUUUGCACAUCUUUCAGGAAUGGUCCCUUCCCUUCCCCUCCUUUCCAUUCCAGUCUGUGUUGCUAGUUUUCUCCCCAAUAAUCCCAAUUUUAAGAGAAAUUAACACUUACUCAGCACUCACCAUGCUUCUUCACCGUAUUGCUCUAAGUCAGGGAAGCGUGUUUGCCUCUCUCGUUUCAUUUCCUUUGAUAGAACUAUUUACUCUGUUGCACAGCUUCUCAUCCACUUCUCUCGCCCUGCCCUCUGGCUUCUCCCCCAUCCUAAUCCAAGCUUCUAGCUUCACCCACUAGCCUCAAUCCAAUGGUGCUGAGCUUAAAAAGUUGGGUCGAGUGAGGUGCUAGCUAAUGUGUAAGAGCCAGCUCUCACAGAAACUAAGAAUCCUAACUCAUGGGGAAUGUGAGGAUUAAAUGAGUCAACUCACCUUACAGUACCUGGCCCACAGCAGACACCCUGCUUGGUAAUGUUGGCCGUCAUCCUUCUCAGGACCACCCAACAAAGGCGUCCCUAGGGUAAACACGGCAGGACGCUUCUUCUUCCUCACCCAGGGACUUGCCACACUGCAGAGGGCUGCCCAGGCAGGACUGGAGAAGGUGGGCGGUCUGGUCCUUCAUGCAGUCGUGGUUGAGCCCGGAGUAGCGCCGUGAACUUCUGCUCCCCUUCCUACCCCGCCAGCUCUCCUGACAAAGCUCCAGUGUGGCUGCGCUCCACCUCCUCAUGGAGCCACAUUGGAAUCACCUGGAAGCUUGACCAUUUAUUUGAGCCAGGUUUCUUACCCACCCAGAUUCUGAUUUAACAAAUCAGAGUUCUGACCCAACAUCAGGAUUUUUUUUUUUUUUUAAUCUCUCCAGGUGAUUCUCAUGUGCAGCCAAGACUGAGAACCUCAUGAAGACAGAUAAGCAGGGCUACUCCCGAGGGUGAGUGCUCAGCUUUUAUUGGAAGCAGGCUUGGCCUGAGUGCAUCUGAAUUCAUCCUUCCUGGUGCCCAAACCAGCCCAGAGAAUUCCUGUGGCUGGAGUGACCCAUACAGACAAUGUUAUAGAAAGGAUGCCAGCAACUAACGGGGCACAGAACUACAGGAGUGGGCAGGCUGUAAGGGCUCCCUAACUGAGAAUGCCGUGUCUCCAUGCAACACCCUGGGUCUGCCUCUAAUGCCUGGAGUCUUUCCUGUUCCAAGAACCAGCAAGGCUGUGGUCAUGUGAAAAGCAUUCUUGGGGGUUGUGUGUGCACAGCCAACAUGACUGCACACAAGGGCCUCGACCAAAGGCAGUACACACAAUGUCUGGCAUCUCUCAGGACAGUGAUCCAAAACACGUGUUUGGCCAAGGCUCAGGAAGACCCCACACUAAUAGGCCCCACCACGCCAUCAGCCAGGAGGGAAGCCUGCCUGUCCCCGUCCUCACCGAAGGAUGGUCACCAACAGGAGAAGCUGCUCUAGAAGCACGGGAGGAAGACGCUCAGCCCAGAUCCACUCCAGAUCCCACAAAUAGGCUUGAGCAGGCUUGGGCAAAGCGUGGAUUAUGUAAAUACGUAUUUGGGGACUUUUUAAACACAGAUUAUUCACCCAAUUAACUCUAAUGGCCCCUCAGAGCUGAGAGAGAGUAUUGUGUAAACACGUGGGGCUGAAUGUGGCCUCAGCCCCAAGAUUUCCUCAAAAGACGGGGUUUACGAGUCCCCCAUAAGGGUUCCCCCUGGGCCCCAACUUGGCAGAUAAGUUCAUUGCCCGAAAGGGAAUUCUUGCCUAAAAAUCUGAAAAGGGUAAGAAUAAAAAGAAGGAUCUAGCCCCCUUUUAGCAAGUAGGGAGCUCUCUGGGUACAGAUUUUAUAUAUAUUUUCAUUUGCCAUAAAACAUACCAUUAUAUGACAUAGAACAUCUGGUAGCCUAUGGUAGCCUAGCUCUUUCCCAAUAAUAGGAGAAAUUGUAGAUUUCUCUCCAGCAGCCACUUACGUUCACAUAUUCUAAAUGUUUCCCACUGGAUACAACACAGCCGGGAGGGCGGCCAAACCCGGGCCUGCCUCAGUGAGGCGGUGGGAGACCCACCCCAGUCAGUCCUGUUAAGAACAGGGAGGUUCGGCACACCAGUCCCAGCGGGGAGCCCCCAGGAGGGGCUGGGCCUCCUCCAAGAGAUGAGCACAGGGUCGACCCCCCAACGCAGAGAGCCUUGGAGUCCAAGGGGGUGUGUCCAUGGUCAAGUCUGCUGACCGAUGGGGGAACAGGGGUAAUUUUCUCACCUUAACCAGGAACAAGUCUUCUGAAAUCCUCUUGGGCAUAAAGGCCCAUGGGAGAGACAUGGAGUGUGAGGGCCCAUCCCUGCUUCAGGGAGCUUACACAUCCAAGGAAACAAGCUCAUCUUUCCGUGGCCACCACCCUGCUCCCCACACAUACAUGCAUCCCAGCGGAAGAGGCGGGAACCCAGGAGUCCUUGUUCCCUCUCCCCCCACUGCCCAGGACCCAGCCUUCACCACAUUGACGAGCCUCACCUCCAGGAUCUCUCCAUGGCCACAGCCCCUACCCCAACCAGCCAUGCCUUUCCCUUGCCCUUCCUCACUAGUCUCCCAGCUUCCUCUGGUCCUUCUCUGUCCGUUUUUUGCUUUUGGGGAUGCACAAGUGACCAAGACCCCAGCCUGGCAUAGAACCCUUCCUACUGCUCUUAGGAUAAAUACCUUCACAUAGUUCAUUACUAACUGGGUCCCACUCACCCCAUUACUCCCUCUGCCUAGAACUCUCUUCCCUCCUAUCUUCUCCAAGUUACCUCUCACUGAGCCUCCUACAUUCAGCAAGUGUUAGUCACUCAGUCGUGUUCAACUCUUUGUGACCCAGUGGACUGUAGCCCACCAGGCUCCUCUGUUCAUGGAAUUCUCGAGGCAAGAAUACCAGAGUGGGUUGUCAUUCCCUUCUCCAGGCGAUCUUCCUGACCCAGAGAUCAAACCCAGGUCUCCUGCAUUGCAGGCAGACUCCUUACUGUCUGAGCCACCAAGGAAGCCAAGCAGGAAGUCUGUCAGAGCAAAUGUCAUUUCCCCCAGAAGCCAAGUAUGGGCUCUUACAACUCUUUGGUGGCCGAUGACCAAACAAAAAUUACUCCCAGUGCUGGGCACUUGGCACACGGUGGUGUUCAGUAACCAUCUGAACAAAAGGGCUUCACCAAGACAAAUAACCAGGAGGAGGAGGCAUCUCCAGGCUGCACACUGAGAAUGGUACGGAAGCAGGGAGAGAAGGGGCAGGCACCACCUCCCUCGAUUCAGCUCUGCCAACAGCCCUGUGAGGGCUCUAUUUAGGAUGCCUGGGGCUCGUUCAUCCUGACAGCGCAGGAGACCUGGCGGGUCCAAGCAGAGGAAUCAACAUGAGC
This is a long non-coding RNA of Bos taurus (domestic cattle), 3364 nucleotides long. Lineage: Eukaryota; Metazoa; Chordata; Mammalia; Artiodactyla; Bovidae. The record is from Ensembl.